Suricata suricatta (meerkat) is the source of this 187-nucleotide long non-coding RNA. RefSeq lists it as uncharacterized. The record is from RefSeq and is a predicted model, not a curated record. NCBI's taxonomy places the organism in Eukaryota, Metazoa, Chordata, Mammalia, Carnivora, Herpestidae. The transcript has 3 exons.
CUAAGAACCACUGAUCUAUACAACGUACUUCUAGGAAGCCAUAAACAUAAACAGAAGAAAUAUCAGAGAAUUUAAAUAAUUCACCUAAGGUCGCACAAUUGCCUCACAAGCCCCACUUUGCUGUUGGUCUGGUCAAGAAGAUUGCUGUUGAUGGUAAUUCAGUAACGGAUACUAACUUAGCCAGGAU